GAUGAACGCUGGCGGCGUGCCUAAUACGUGCAAGUCGAGCGAACGGACGAGAAGCUUGCUUCUCUGAUGUUAGCGGCGGACGGGUGAGUAACACGUGGAUAACCUACCUAUAAGACUGGGAUAACUUCGGGAAACCGGAGCUAAUACCGGAUGAUAUUUUGAACCGCAUGGUUCAAAAGUGAAAGACGGUCUUGCUGUCACUUAUCGAUGGAUCCGCGCUGCAUUAGCUAGUUGGUAAGGUAACGGCUUACCAAGGCAACGAUGCAUAGCCGACCUGAGAGGGUGAUCGGCCACACUGGAACUGAGCCACGGUCCAGACUCCUACGGGAGGCAGCAGUAGGGAAUCCUCCGCAAUGGGCGAAAGCCUGACGGAGCAACGCCGCGUGAGUGAUGAAGGUCUUCGGAUCGUAAAACUCUGUUAUUAGGGAAGAACAUAUGUGUAAGUAACUGUGCACAUCUUGACGGUACCUAAUCAGAAAGCCACGGCUAACUACGUG
RNAcentral lists this ribosomal RNA (497 nucleotides) under uncultured bacterium. Its description in RNAcentral is "partial 16S ribosomal RNA". It matches the Rfam family "Bacterial small subunit ribosomal RNA", at positions 28 to 507 of the family's 1533-position model. The record is from RNAcentral.